UUCACAAGUUAUGGAUGAUAUAUCUCUAGAGCCUAGUCCUCCAAUGGCCCCCAUAGCAGUAGACUCGAUUCCGAAUCCGGAUCGGAGUGAGGGGCAGCCAAGUAUUAUAACACAAAUCAAACAUACACCACACUAAGUCCUUCUGAUUUGCGUAGUAUGGUUCGGGAAUUACCCGAUCUCAAAAGAGAUGACCCGAACAUGGCGUUUUGGGAGAAAAUAGCACAGUACAUGACGGUGGGGGAUUACAUGCUUUCGACGUUUAUGUGUUAACAAAGGCAAAAUGUCCAAGUGCAGUAUGGAGCGAGUAGGGGAAUUUAAUAACUCUGCAUGGGCAUCUGUCCGCUUCACAUCCACGCUUGAGAUGGAGGAAGCAAUGGAAAAUUUCAGGAAGACAGUUUAUCAAGCUCUAGGUACAGGUUCCAAUCUGUAUUCAUUAUAUCUUACCCGCCACCAACGCGAAGAUGAACCUUUUGAUAGGUAUAUUGACGAGAAAUACAGUUUGUACUCCACAUAUGGUAAUGCAGGUGACAAUCCAAGUAAAGAUAACCCCGAUUUCCUGAUGAAUGUACUCGAGGGAAGUGUAGCUUUAUACCGAGAUACAGUGGGUGAGGCUAGUUUUCGACCGAAGGAUUGUAGCGACUUAAUUUCGUGGGCUGCAUGUUUAAAUAAAUAUCAUAGUGGUGUAAACAAAGGGGGCGCAAGAUCAGGUCUGAGAUCACAUUCUCACAAUAAAGCACCCCUCCACAUGGCUCCGGUACAGGAGAUAGCUCCUUGCAGCAACUGUGGGAGAUCGGGGGAUAGCCAGGCGGACUGUCUCGGAGGGAGAAAGACCCCGUGUAAGCUCUGUCACAGAUAUGGACACGUUGCCCAGGCAUGCAGAUCUGGAAUAACCGGUGCAGAAAAUGUCACAAACUCGGACAUUGGGCACGUGAGUGCGAAUUCAGAAAUGAAGGUCAGUCAGAACGAGGUAGCCAGCUCCAAGACAUGUCAAAAGACGAACUCGUUAGAUUAAUUAAAUCGCUUGAAACCUCAGAAUAGGAUACGUCGGCCCCCAUUGCAUCAGGUGUUGAGGUUUCGUUCAAAUAGCAUAAGGACGUGGACACCACAAGCCCCUAAAUAUUCUUAAUUUAUGAGCCCAAGAUAAGGGAGUAACAGUAAAUAAAUAAAUAAAAAAAGGUAGCACACAUAUGAUUGACCCCUAGUGGCAGAUCCUAACACCAUCCUUUCCACAGUUUCUCAUGUAAAAUACACGCUGAGCAAUGUUGGCUUCAAGCUGACACUGAGGUAAUGGAUCGUUUUUACUUCUCAAAGUAGCACCUUGCAUAAGACUUUUGUUAAUACUGUGGAUGUACCUGUGGGUGAUCUGUGGGGUUGCAACCAAGGCCGUGUAAAUACACCAGAGAUGGAGGCAUAAGGAUUUUAAAAUGGUGUGUGACUUUUGAACUUGUAGGAGACUCCUGACUAGUGCAGUAGCCCCCAAUACAAAAUGGGGGACUGGUACAAGAAAAUAACAUUGGUUAAAAAAAAAAUAUUAAAAAAACAA
This is a long non-coding RNA of Anguilla rostrata (American eel), 1543 nucleotides long. RefSeq lists it as uncharacterized. Lineage: Eukaryota; Metazoa; Chordata; Actinopteri; Anguilliformes; Anguillidae. The record is from RefSeq and is a predicted model, not a curated record. The transcript is spliced from 2 exons.